AGUCUUGUGCUUUAAUAAAGAAGUGUUACUAGAGAACUGUCUCCAGCAUGUUAUAUCAGGAGAGCUGAAAUCACAAACCCCACGUCACAACAGUUUUAACCACCCUGAAUGAUUUUAGUAUCAUCAGCAAACUUGACCACCUCGCUGCUCAGCCCUAACUCUAGAUUGUGAAGUGAAAAAGCACAGGCCCCAACACAGAUUGGGGGACUUUCUACAUCCUGCCACUGAGAGAACUGUCUGUUUAUUCCUACUCUCUCCUUCCUGUUAUGUAACUAGCUCCUGGUUGAAAAGAGAACCUCUCCUCUUAUUCCAUUACGGCUAAGCUUGCUCAGCAGUCAAAUGUCAAAAACAUUUGAAAAUCAAAGUACGCUAUGCUAACUCAAGUCCAUUGAUUUCCACUGGUCUACUCUGACUAAUGUUGUAAAUCAUCCAUAAUACAAUAUUUAUAUAGCCACGACAUUAUAGGCUUUUACAAUUCUGGUGUGUUACUUUAGAAAUAGGUAGCAUCAGGGAAAGGUAGCGUCACCACGAGACCAGAUGCUGACUCUUCAAAAUCUUGGUUCAUGCUGGGCAGCAGGGGAGGGAAACCUAAAGGCAAUUCAUAUGAUGCUGGACAUGAAUUUCCAUCAGUCCCAGCUAUCAUGACCAAUGAUUAGGGAUAAUUGGCGUUGUAACAUACAGUUGUACCUUGGAUCACAAACGCCUUGGCUCCCGAACAAAUCUGCUCCCAAAUGAUUGAAACCUGAAAGUGGGUGCUCCAGUUUUUGAACAAUUUUCAGAAGCCAAACAUCCAGUGCAGUUUCCACAGCUUCCAAUUGGAUGCAGGAUGCUCCUGCAGCCAAUCGGAAGCCGUGCCUUGGUUUUCGAAUGGUUCUGGGUGUCGAACGGACUCCCGGAACGCAUUCUAUUCGAGAACCAAGGUACGACUGUACAGUGGUACCUCAGGUUAAGUACUUAAUUCAUUCCGGAGGUCCAUUCUUAACCUGAAACUGUUCUUAACCUGAAGCACCACUUUAGCUAAUGGGGCCUCCUGCUGCUGCCGCGCUGCCAGAGCACGAUUUCUGUUCUCAUCCUGAAGCAAAGUUCUUAACCCGAGGUAAUAUUUCUGGGUUAGCAGAGUCUGUAACCUGAAGCGUAUGUAACCUGAAGUGUAUGUAACCCGAGGUACCACUGUAUUUAAACAGGGCUACAAAAGGAUCUUAGCGUGUAUAUCUGCCUGUUAACAUUUACUCUACCUCAGCAUUGGGGUUCAGCAUUUGGAGAAAGCUAGAGAGUUCCAGAAAGGCAUCUACUUCUGCUUCAUUGACUAUGCAAAAGCCUUUGACUGUGUCAACCACAGCAAACUAUGGCAAGUUCUUAAAGAAAUGGGAGUGCCUGAUCACCUCAUCUGUCUCCUGAGAAAUCUCUAUGUGGGACAAGAAGCUACAGUUAGAACUGGAUAUGGAACAACUGAUUGGUUCAAAAUUGGGAAAGGAGUACGGCAAGGCUGUAUAUUGUCUCCCUGCUUAUUUAACUUAUAUGCAGAAUUCAUCAUGCUACAGGCUGGGCUGGAUGAAUCCUUAGCCAGAAUUAAGAUUGCCGGAAGAAAUAUCAACAACCUCAGAUAUGCAGAUGACACAACCUUGAUGGCAGAAAGUGAGGAGGAAUUAAAUAACCUUUUAUUGAGGGAGAAAGAGGAGAGUGCAAAAUAUGGUCUGAAGCUCAACAUC
Podarcis lilfordi (Lilford's wall lizard) is the source of this 1709-nucleotide non-coding RNA. The record is from the annotation of a GenBank genome assembly. Lineage: Eukaryota; Metazoa; Chordata; Lepidosauria; Squamata; Lacertidae.